This 2932-nucleotide ribosomal RNA is filed under the name Escherichia coli. Its description in RNAcentral is "bacterial LSU rRNA". It matches the Rfam family "Bacterial large subunit ribosomal RNA". The record is from RNAcentral. Lineage: Bacteria; Pseudomonadati; Pseudomonadota; Gammaproteobacteria; Enterobacterales; Enterobacteriaceae.
GGGUUGUGAGGUUAAGCGACUAAGCGUACACGGUGGAUGCCCUGGCAGUCAGAGGCGAUGAAGGACGUGCUAAUCUGCGAUAAGCGUCGGUAAGGUGAUAUGAACCGUUAUAACCGGCGAUUUCCGAAUGGGGAAACCCAGUGUGAUUCGUCACACUAUCAUUAACUGAAUCCAUAGGUUAAUGAGGCGAACCGGGGGAACUGAAACAUCUAAGUACCCCGAGGAAAAGAAAUCAACCGAGAUUCCCCCAGUAGCGGCGAGCGAACGGGGAGCAGCCCAGAGCCUGAAUCAGUGUGUGUGUUAGUGGAAGCGUCUGGAAAGGCGCGCGAUACAGGGUGACAGCCCCGUACACAAAAAUGCACAUGCUGUGAGCUCGAUGAGUAGGGCGGGACACGUGGUAUCCUGUCUGAAUAUGGGGGGACCAUCCUCCAAGGCUAAAUACUCCUGACUGACCGAUAGUGAACCAGUACCGUGAGGGAAAGGCGAAAAGAACCCCGGCGAGGGGAGUGAAAAAGAACCUGAAACCGUGUACGUACAAGCAGUGGGAGCACAGAGCAAUCUGUGUGACUGCGUACCUUUUGUAUAAUGGGUCAGCGACUUAUAUUCUGUAGCAAGGUUAACCGAAUAGGGGAGCCGAAGGGAAACCGAGUCUUAACUGGGCGUUAAGUUGCAGGGUAUAGACCCGAAACCCGGUGAUCUAGCCAUGGGCAGGUUGAAGGUUGGGUAACACUAACUGGAGGACCGAACCGACUAAUGUUGAAAAAUUAGCGGAUGACUUGUGGCUGGGGGUGAAAGGCCAAUCAAACCGGGAGAUAGCUGGUUCUCCCCGAAAGCUAUUUAGGUAGCGCCUCGUGAAUUCAUCUCCGGGGGUAGAGCACUGUUUCGGCAAGGGGGUCAUCCCGACUUACCAACCCGAUGCAAACUGCGAAUACCGGAGAAUGUUAUCACGGGAGACACACGGCGGGUGCUAACGUCCGUCGUGAAGAGGGAAACAACCCAGACCGCCAGCUAAGGUCCCAAAGUCAUGGUUAAGUGGGAAACGAUGUGGGAAGGCCCAGACAGCCAGGAUGUUGGCUUAGAAGCAGCCAUCAUUUAAAGAAAGCGUAAUAGCUCACUGGUCGAGUCGGCCUGCGCGGAAGAUGUAACGGGGCUAAACCAUGCACCGAAGCUGCGGCAGCGACACUGUGUGUUGUUGGGUAGGGGAGCGUUCUGUAAGCCUGCGAAGGUGUGCUGUGAGGCAUGCUGGAGGUAUCAGAAGUGCGAAUGCUGACAUAAGUAACGAUAAAGCGGGUGAAAAGCCCGCUCGCCGGAAGACCAAGGGUUCCUGUCCAACGUUAAUCGGGGCAGGGUGAGUCGACCCCUAAGGCGAGGCCGAAAGGCGUAGUCGAUGGGAAACAGGUUAAUAUUCCUGUACUUGGUGUUACUGCGAAGGGGGGACGGAGAAGGCUAUGUUGGCCGGGCGACGGUUGUCCCGGUUUAAGCGUGUAGGCUGGUUUUCCAGGCAAAUCCGGAAAAUCAAGGCUGAGGCGUGAUGACGAGGCACUACGGUGCUGAAGCAACAAAUGCCCUGCUUCCAGGAAAAGCCUCUAAGCAUCAGGUAACAUCAAAUCGUACCCCAAACCGACACAGGUGGUCAGGUAGAGAAUACCAAGGCGCUUGAGAGAACUCGGGUGAAGGAACUAGGCAAAAUGGUGCCGUAACUUCGGGAGAAGGCACGCUGAUAUGUAGGUGAAGUCCCUCGCGGAUGGAGCUGAAAUCAGUCGAAGAUACCAGCUGGCUGCAACUGUUUAUUAAAAACACAGCACUGUGCAAACACGAAAGUGGACGUAUACGGUGUGACGCCUGCCCGGUGCCGGAAGGUUAAUUGAUGGGGUCAGCGCAAGCGAAGCUCUUGAUCGAAGCCCCGGUAAACGGCGGCCGUAACUAUAACGGUCCUAAGGUAGCGAAAUUCCUUGUCGGGUAAGUUCCGACCUGCACGAAUGGCGUAAUGAUGGCCAGGCUGUCUCCACCCGAGACUCAGUGAAAUUGAACUCGCUGUGAAGAUGCAGUGUACCCGCGGCAAGACGGAAAGACCCCGUGAACCUUUACUAUAGCUUGACACUGAACAUUGAGCCUUGAUGUGUAGGAUAGGUGGGAGGCUUUGAAGUGUGGACGCCAGUCUGCAUGGAGCCGACCUUGAAAUACCACCCUUUAAUGUUUGAUGUUCUAACGUUGACCCGUGAUCCGGGUUGCGGACAGUGUCUGGUGGGUAGUUUGACUGGGGCGGUCUCCUCCUAAAGAGUAACGGAGGAGCACGAAGGUUGGCUAAUCCUGGUCGGACAUCAGGAGGUUAGUGCAAUGGCAUAAGCCAGCUUGACUGCGAGCGUGACGGCGCGAGCAGGUGCGAAAGCAGGUCAUAGUGAUCCGGUGGUUCUGAAUGGAAGGGCCAUCGCUCAACGGAUAAAAGGUACUCCGGGGAUAACAGGCUGAUACCGCCCAAGAGUUCAUAUCGACGGCGGUGUUUGGCACCUCGAUGUCGGCUCAUCACAUCCUGGGGCUGAAGUAGGUCCCAAGGGUAUGGCUGUUCGCCAUUUAAAGUGGUACGCGAGCUGGGUUUAGAACGUCGUGAGACAGUUCGGUCCCUAUCUGCCGUGGGCGCUGGAGAACUGAGGGGGGCUGCUCCUAGUACGAGAGGACCGGAGUGGACGCAUCACUGGUGUUCGGGUUGUCAUGCCAAUGGCACUGCCCGGUAGCUAAAUGCGGAAGAGAUAAGUGCUGAAAGCAUCUAAGCACGAAACUUGCCCCGAGAUGAGUUCUCCCUGACCCUUUAAGGGUCCUGAAGGAACGUUGAAGACGACGACGUUGAUAGGCCGGGUGUGUAAGCGCAGCGAUGCGUUGAGCUAACCGGUACUAAUGAACCGUGAGGCUUAACCUUACAACGCCGAAGGUGUUU